RNAcentral lists this unclassified non-coding RNA (239 nucleotides) under fungal sp. RNAcentral describes it as "partial internal transcribed spacer region". The stretch from base 1 to 46 matches the Rfam family "Eukaryotic small subunit ribosomal RNA", at positions 1786 to 1831 of the family's 1831-position model. The record is from RNAcentral. Lineage: Eukaryota; Fungi.
AAGUCGUAACAAGGUUUCCGUAGGUGAACCUGCGGAAGGAUCAUUCUCGAGUCGGGACCUCCGUGUCCCUUUCUCUCAUCCCAUCCUGUGUUGUUGACCGGGUUGUGGUGGUGCUGGUGGCGCUUGUCGUCGCCCACCGCCCAGCCCAUUUUGUCAUACCAUCCCGUAUCAUCUGUGACUGAUUGUGAGUAUCUGUAAUAGUUAAAACAACUGUUGACAACGGAUCACUCGGCUCUCGU